Molecule: ribosomal RNA, 378 nt
Filed under: uncultured bacterium
Lineage: Bacteria
Description: bacterial SSU rRNA
Rfam family: Bacterial small subunit ribosomal RNA
Source: RNAcentral
UAAUACAGAGGGUGCGAGCGUUAAUCGGAUUUACUGGGCGUAAAGCGUGCGUAGGCGGCUUCUUAAGUCGGAUGUGAAAUCCCUGAGCUUAACUUAGGAAUUGCAUUCGAUACUGGGAAGCUAGAGUAUGGGAGAGGAUGGUAGAAUUCCAGGUGUAGCGGUGAAAUGCGUAGAGAUCUGGAGGAAUACCGAUGGCGAAGGCAGCCAUCUGGCCUAAUACUGACGCUGAGGUACGAAAGCAUGGGGAGCAAACAGGAUUAGAUACCCUGGUAGUCCAUGCCGUAAACGAUGUCUACUAGCCGUUGGGGCCUUUGAGGCUUUAGUGGCGCAGCUAACGCGAUAAGUAGACCGCCUGGGGAGUACGGUCGAAAGACUAAA